GAUCAUGGCUCAGGAUGAACGCUGGCGGCGUGCUUAACACAUGCAAGUCGAACGAAACACCUUAUUUGAUUUUCUUCGGAACUGAAGAUUUGGUGAUUGAGUGGCGGACGGGUGAGUAACGCGUGGGUAACCUACCCUGUACAGGGGGAUAACAGUCAGAAAUGACUGCUAAUACCGCAUAAGACCACAGCACCGCAUAGUGCAGGGGUAAAAACUCCGGUGGUACAGGAUGGACCCGCGU
This 241-nucleotide ribosomal RNA is filed under the name uncultured bacterium. RNAcentral's name for it is "partial 16S ribosomal RNA". It matches the Rfam family "Bacterial small subunit ribosomal RNA", at positions 15 to 236 of the family's 1533-position model. The record is from RNAcentral.